This 542-nucleotide ribosomal RNA is filed under the name uncultured Glomeromycotina. RNAcentral describes it as "SSU rRNA". It matches the Rfam family "Eukaryotic small subunit ribosomal RNA", at positions 552 to 1096 of the family's 1831-position model. Lineage: Eukaryota; Fungi; Glomeromycota. The record is from RNAcentral.
AGGGCAAGUCUGGUGCCAGCAGCCGCGGUAAUUCCAGCUCCAAUAGCGUAUAUUAAAGUUGUUGCAGUUAAAAAGCUCGUAGUUGAAUUUCGGGAUCAAUCUAUCGGUCGUGCAAUAGUACGUACUGAUUUUAUUGAUUCCUCCCUUCUGAUGAACUAUGAUGUCAUUAAUUUGGUGUCAUAGGGAAUCAGGACUGUUACUUUGAAAAAAUUAGAGUGUUUAAAGCAGGCUCACGCUUGAAUACAUUAGCAUGGAAUAACGAAAUAGGACGUUUGAUUCUAUUUUGUUGGUUUCUAGGAUCGACGUAAUGAUUAAUAGGGAUAGUUGGGGGCAUUAGUAUUCAAUUGUCAGAGGUGAAAUCCUUGGAUUUAUUGAAGACUAACUACUGCGAAAGCAUUUGCCAAGGAUGUUUUCAUUAAUCAAGAACGAAAGUUAGGGGAUCGAAGACGAUCAGAUACCGUCGUAGUCUUAACCAUAAACUAUGCCGACUAGGGAUCGGAUGAUGUUAAUUUUUUAAUGACUCAUUCGGCGCCUUACGGGAA